Molecule: long non-coding RNA, 732 nt
Filed under: Capra hircus (goat)
Lineage: Eukaryota; Metazoa; Chordata; Mammalia; Artiodactyla; Bovidae
Description: lncRNA (ENSCHIG00000001829.1)
Source: RNAcentral
CCCAUAUUAUGGUGGAUAUAGUUCCCUUUAUUUUGCUUGAUUUGAAGGACAUUAUUCAAAGAUGCUCCCCACUGCUCAGUGGAUGGAUGGAUGGAUGGAUGGGACGGGUGUGUCUGUGCAGUGGGUGUAGCUGUGGCCGCUACUGGGAGGGGCUGGUUCUCCUGUGAGCAGGCAAGCUGCUCAUCACAGGAGGCACGUUACGUCAGCUGGGAGGGAGCCACUCUGGAUUUCUGACUUCAUUUUCACCUUCCUCUUUCCUGCUCUCAGUUCUGAUCUCUGCGGAAGGAGUUCUAUGAGGCUGUCUCUUCACCCAGGCUCUUAGGGAUGGAGCUCUUAUCCACGCCUGGGAGUAGCAGCUAAAGGGGGCAGCUGCCAAUCUCCAGCCUCUGAGGAUAGGCCUGGCUCAGGCGUGCAGAGACUGACAUCUUCAGCCUCACCAUAUGGGUAACAAGGUUGAUGAGGAGUUUAGAUGCUAACAUGCUGUCAGAAUUUCUGGGACUAUUCUAUACUCUGUGAGACCAAAAGGACAGAAUAUUGGAACUCAGUGAUUCACCCAGGGAUCAUCAGAGACAGCCAUCCGGGGAAGAUGCCAUUGUUUUUCUCCAGCUUUGAAGGGGUUGUACAACCUUGCACUGAUUUGUGCUUAGAAGCCUCCGCACUUUCCCCUUGCAGUUGUCCCCAGAAUUUAGGGAAGACUAUAUCGUGCCUGGUUUGACAUUAAAUCCUUUUCCC